AUUGAACGCUGGCGGAAUGCUUUACACAUGCAAGUCGAACGGCAGCACGGACUUCGGUCUGGUGGUGAGUGGCGAACGGGUGAGUAAUGUAUCGGAACGUGCCCAGUCGUGGGGGAUAACGUAGUGAAAAUUACGCUAAUACCGCAUACGAUCUACGGAUGAAAGCGGGGGAUCGCAAGACCUCGCGCGAUUGGAGCGGCCGAUAUCAGAUUAGGUAGUUGGUGGGGUAAAGGCCCACCAAGCCAACGAUCUGUAGCUGGUCUGAGAGGACGACCAGCCACACUGGAAGUGAGACACGGUCCAGACUCCUACGGGAGGCAGCAGUGGGGAAUUUUGGACAAUGGGCGAAAGCCUGAUCCAGCCAUUCCGCGUGCAGGAUGAAGGCCCUCGGGUUGUAAACUGCUUUUGUACAGAACGAAAAGGUUUCUACUAAUACUAGGAGCUCAUGACGGUACUGUAAGAAUAAGCACCGGCUAACUACGUGCCAGCCGCCGCAGUAA
This 500-nucleotide ribosomal RNA is filed under the name uncultured bacterium. RNAcentral's name for it is "partial 16S ribosomal RNA". It matches the Rfam family "Bacterial small subunit ribosomal RNA", at positions 30 to 523 of the family's 1533-position model. The record is from RNAcentral.